This 440-nucleotide ribosomal RNA is filed under the name uncultured Acinetobacter sp. RNAcentral's name for it is "bacterial SSU rRNA". It matches the Rfam family "Bacterial small subunit ribosomal RNA", at positions 359 to 790 of the family's 1533-position model. Lineage: Bacteria; Pseudomonadati; Pseudomonadota; Gammaproteobacteria; Moraxellales; Moraxellaceae. The record is from RNAcentral.
GAAUAUUGGACAAUGGGGGGAACCCUGAUCCAGCCAUGCCGCGUGUGUGAAGAAGGCCUUUUGGUCGUAAAGCACUUUAAGCGAGGAGGAGGCUCCUAUAGAUAAUACCUAUAGAGAGUGGACGUUACUCGCAGAAUAAGCACCGGCUAACUCUGUGCCAGCAGCCGCGGUAAUACAGAGGGUGCAAGCGUUAAUCGGAUUUACUGGGCGUAAAGCGUACGUAGGUGGUCUUUUAAGUCGGAUGUGAAAUCCCUGAGCUUAACUUAGGAAUUGCAUUCGAUACUGGGAGACUAGAGUAUGGGAGAGGAUGGUAGAAUUCCAGGUGUAGCGGUGAAAUGCGUAGAGAUCUGGAGGAAUACCGAUGGCGAAGGCAGCCAUCUGGCCUAAUACUGACACUGAGGUACGAAAGCAUGGGGAGCAAACAGGAUUAGAUACCCUUG